CAGGAAGGAGAGGCAGGUUGAGAAAGAGGGAAUGAGUGGCACCAGGGCCCCGCCCCCACUGACUCACCGGAAGGGAAUGGAAACAGGGCGUGGGCUGAAGCUGCCAGGGCCCAGUCUCGCCCUCUUAGGGCCUCACCUGGCUCAGAGGGUUUCAGGAGACCACACUGUUGUCUUCAGCUGAAUGUGAAAUGCAUCCCAAACUCAGAGAAAUGGCUGUAUAAACAGAGACCGGGGGAGAGAGAGAGCCGAGAGCACAGGAACCAAGGGAGACGAGACGAGAGCUGCAGUGUCUAGAUGGUAGGGUGCGUGGGAGUUCUCUGCAUAAUUCUCACAGCCGCUCUGGGUGUUUGCAAGGGGCCAUCAUAGAAUGUUGG
RNAcentral lists this long non-coding RNA (374 nucleotides) under Mustela putorius furo (domestic ferret). Its description in RNAcentral is "lncRNA (ENSMPUG00000027220.1)". Lineage: Eukaryota; Metazoa; Chordata; Mammalia; Carnivora; Mustelidae. The record is from RNAcentral.